GCCAUGUUAGAAUAUUGAUAUAUUGAACGUGGCGUAUUGGUGGCUUACAUUAAAUGGUUCUAAAAUUAGCAGCGCUGAGAACCUACUUUAAAAGCCUGAUUACCAACUUAAUUGGGUACACUGUGUCUACUAAGAUAAUACUAUUGAUUGAAGCUUCGAAUUCCUGCAUUGGUUCCUAGAUAUUUGAAGUUUGAUUCACGUGAAAAAUUCCUUAAAAAGAGGAAUUCUACCGGGCAUCUUUCAGACCUCGAGCCCUCCCAUCUCCCUGAGCAAUGGCUUCAAAGAUUUGGUUCAUUGCAGUUCUAUUGCUAGCGGUUAGCGUCGGCUUUGAAGCCUUCACAAUUCCACUAGAAGAGGAUCUUAAUGAUGAUAGCAAUGAAAUGGAUUAUCCUAAAGAUUAUAAUGAUGACGAUGACGAAGAUGAUGACGAUGAUGAUAAUGUCCAUGAUGGAAACAAUUUGGGUAAGAAAGACUUGUUUUGUUGAACACUUAGCUGUUCAUUAAAACAAUUUAGGGUUGAUGAUACCAUAGCACGUUUGUGAACGUCACAUCUCUUCACCAAAGCAAGAGCACGUGCGUUUACUAUAUGAAUAUACACACACAACACACAAUCCCAGUGGUUACGAAGAGUUAACGUUAACGCCCGAACAUCAGCUUCACAAACUCGCUACAACGGUUGAUUUACCUUAUCAACUCAACUUUACGUUUUACCCUUGGUUUGCUGGCACAGAUUUAAUCUAAUCACCCGAAUGACUUUAGAAAAAUAUGAGAGUUAUCCAACAGUUAUGGGCGUGUGAAGAAAGAAGGGGUGAGGGAAAGUGCCAUCUAGGUAUUGAGAGUAUGUUUUGCAAUUUAAAACGAGAUUUCCUAUAUAUUUACAACAUUUUCCUACUUCCUGAGAAAGAUGUAAAAUGGAAUAUGGCGGACUUUGUGGCGUUACGUCAUGAGCUUUCUUUUACGUUUGGAGGUAAUAAUAAAGACGUUAAGA
Long non-coding RNA from Orbicella faveolata, 988 nucleotides. The record is from RefSeq and is a predicted model, not a curated record. NCBI's taxonomy places the organism in Eukaryota, Metazoa, Cnidaria, Anthozoa, Scleractinia, Merulinidae.